This 3021-nucleotide long non-coding RNA is filed under the name Homo sapiens (human). Its description in RNAcentral is "HSALNT0099426". The record is from RNAcentral. Lineage: Eukaryota; Metazoa; Chordata; Mammalia; Primates; Hominidae.
UGAUUUUUAAUGAUCUUCCAAUAAACAGCUCUUUGUGGCAAAAGUGACUGUGAACUGGGUGGUCCAACCAGAGGGCUCCUGGAAGUCAGGGGAGCGGUGCUCCUGUUAAAUCACACAUUGAUAAAAGGAAGGAAGGAAAACAGUGUGCUUCCAAGCGUGUGUCCCCCAGACAAGAAAACAGUGGUGAACCUGGCUGCAUUUCUGGACCCCCAGAAGGAGGCGGCACUGACGGCCUGACAGGUCUCCUGACCUUUGGGGGCUUUUAUGUUUGUUUGCUUUUGUUCCAAGUUCCCAGAGGAAAUUCAGGAGGCACCACAACAAAACUCCUGUUUCCUGACACUGCAAUCUAGCCCUUGAAGUGAGGUCCUCUCAGAGGCAGCUUGCCAUCAAGUGCCAUUCUGGGAAGAAAAAGAGUGGUUUUCUCCUAAAAUCAGGGUCGAGUGACCUCUUCAGAUAUAGCAGAGCCUCACGUUGACUCAUAAAAGUGUUUUCAAGACUGCUUUUCCGUCCUCUUCCCCAGGAAGUCCCGGUUGGAGGCUCCCUAACAUUACUGGCUACCCACUAGGGCUGGAAAGAGUUAACGUGAGGGGUGCCAUGGAGGUGGGGCAUAACUCAGUGUAAUUACCCUUACAUAUUAGAUUGCAGCCUGAACAUGCUUACCCCAUCAUUAAGAGCCUUGUAAAGAUAACUAAUGUUUUUUUGUUGUUCUGCCCCACAUCUCCCUGCCAGCAUUCCAGAAUUGGCCCGGCAGAGCCCCAGGCUCCCGGGGGCUUGAUGGAAGCUAUGGAAGAGCAGUUCAGCUUCCUCUAAGGUAGCAAAACCUUACAGACUUCAGGGGACAGCGGAUCCAUGGCCCACGGCUGCUGCAGGCCCGUCAACCUCCUCUUCACGGAUGGGACCACCCGUUUCUCCUGACUGGAAAGGAAAGGCGGUGCAGCUUUUGUUGGUGAAGUUGCACUCAGGAUCAGAAAACAGAACGGCGGUCCUGGCGGGGGAUGGUGCCUCUGACGUGGCAGGGCCCGUGUACUCUCGCCCAUGGCCCUGCUGCUGGGCCCUGCAGGGGCUGCACGUUUGCCUGUGACAAGGGCCCCCGAGGCCACUCACAGAGCAGGCCUCCCCCAUCCCCGCCAGGGCUCCACACUUCCUCACAGCUCCUGCGUCCUCACACAGCACGUCGGGGACUGAGACAUGGUGACAAGGAUUCUUCCAACACGGGGUGAUUAUAAAUGGUCUCGUCCUCUUGUCCUUCCUCAGGAGCCCCGGCCACACUGAAAGCCUUGAUGACAAAGAAGCAAGUCAGCCACCCCAGCCACUCCAGCAGUGGAGUGACCCCCUCUGGAGUCCCUCCCCUGCCAUGGCCCCUCAGGGCCCUUUCAAGCCAGGGUACCUCUGUGCUGACAGGCUGGAAAGGCAGUAAAACACCUGGGCUGUCCCUGUCACUACCCGCGUUUUCAUUAGCAAAGAAUAACUCCAGGGGAGGCUGUCAGGGUUGGCUGAGCAGCUAGGUGAGACCAAGGGGUACAAUUUCAUGGUGAAGAGAAACUCCCCAAAUGUACCAACAGAUGAAGGUCGCCAGCAGUGCCCUGGCCAUCGGGAAAGCUCCUCUGGGUGGAACCAGGACCUGCUCACCACGGUGCUCCCCACUCGGAUCCGGGACAGCGGCAAGGUGCAGCUAAUACUUUUUGCCUUAAUGAGCCGAAGAGGCCUCCGCAGGAACAUGGAACUUUAUCCCAGGGGCCAUCUCCGUCCUCAUUCGAAGUUUUAUGAAAGCACCUAAAGUGUCCAAGGUGCUGGACGCCAACCUCCAUAGGGCACCACCGGCCCCAGGUGAUGCAGCACAACUUCCGCGUGGCAGGACCCUCUUCUAGGGUCCGUCGGCUGGUGUACUUUAAUUUAAGAGGUUCAUAUUCAGGAGGUAAUUAAUACCACAGAAAAAAAAAAUAGCAGGCAAACUCUCAAAGUGACCCCAGGGGCAGGAGAUGAGUGUGACCAAUUCAGUAUCCCAUCUGUUUCUGCAUUUGAGGGAGAUAGUCAUGGGCAGCAUCUCUAAAAGUUCGAGUCCAUACAUGUCUCUGUCCCUGCUGAUUCCAGGAGGCUCACAUUUUCAGGGAAUAUUAGUAAGACAAUGGAUCAGCCUCCAUCAAAGCCCAAAAAACUAGUGUAUUAGUUGAUUCUCGCAUUGCUACAGAGAAAUUCCUGAGACUGGGUAAUUUGUAAAGAAAAGAGGUUUAUAAUUGGCUUAUGGCUCUGCAGGCUGUACAGGAAGCAUGGACGCUUCUGCUUCUGGGGAGCCUCAGGGAGCUUUGACCCAUGGCAGAAGGCAAAGCAGGAGCAGAUGUCUCACAUGACAGGAAUAGGACCAAGAGGGAGGUGGGGAGAUGCCACACACUUUAAAACAACCGGAUCUCAUGAGAACUCAGGAUUGCAACCACGGCACCAUGAAAAACUGCACCCAUGAUCCAGUCACCUCCCACCGGACCUCACCUCCAGCACUGGGGAUUGCAUUUCAACAUGAGAUUUGGGUGGGGACACAGAUUUAAACCAUGUCAACUAGAAGAAGAGUGACAGCAGAUCUAAACAGUGGAGUGACCCCUCUGCAGCUCCCAACCUUCCUCGGCGCAGGCAGGGAGAUGACAGUCACCCGCAUUGCAAAUACCAACAUUUUAAAACUCUCAAUAAAAAGUUUGUUUAAACUUUUAGAAUCCUACUUUUUACCAUAAAAUGUGUACAUAGGAUAUGUGACUAAGUUCUCAUCCCUCCAUUGGUUGUUCUUUUCUUCAGUUUCUCCUGGCCUCAGUUUUGAUCAUAGAGGAGGCUCCUGGCCAGAGGCAAAGCCGCUGUUCCCUGGCAGUGACAGCGUGGCCCAGAAAGGUGGCUUCAGGGAGUUCAGAGCAUGAGACUGUGGAUCCCCCUCAUCUUGGCAGAGCAGGAGCUCAAUAGGGCAUCGUGGAGGUGUGAGUAGGAUGGGGGAGGAUCUCUCCUCUGCCUCCGUGGAGAACACAGUGUGUGACAUCACCGCAG